GGGUCAGUAGGUUGGUCGUGCCACCGGUACGUACUGGUCUCACUGAUUCCUCCUUCCUGAAGAACUGUAAUGCCAUUAAUUUGGUGUUGCGGGGAAACAGGACUGUUACCUUGAAAAAAUUAGAGUGUUUAAAGCAAGCUAACGCUUGAAUACAUUAGCAUGGAAUAAUGAAAUAGGACGAUCGAUCCUAUUUUGUUGGUUUCUAGGAUUGACGUG
Molecule: ribosomal RNA, 216 nt
Filed under: Glomeromycotina sp.
Lineage: Eukaryota; Fungi; Glomeromycota
Description: partial small subunit ribosomal RNA
Rfam family: Eukaryotic small subunit ribosomal RNA (bases 40-216)
Source: RNAcentral